Long non-coding RNA from Capsicum annuum, 1874 nucleotides. RefSeq lists it as uncharacterized. Lineage: Eukaryota; Viridiplantae; Streptophyta; Magnoliopsida; Solanales; Solanaceae. The transcript is spliced from 4 exons. The record is from RefSeq and is a predicted model, not a curated record.
UAAACUCAAUAAUUUAGGUAAAAGAUCAUGUAACUUACUUUGAUUAGAGUCGUAUAUAAAAUUAUAGUACGAUAUAUAUUUUUAUUCAUAUUUACACUUGAUAUCUACUACCACUCUAUCAUUAUACUCAAAUAUAUAUCUUAACAAUUGCACAUUCAGUUCAAAUAAUCUAAUUUUAGAGUAACUUAAUAGACUAUUACUCCAACCUAAUCGUUUAAUUUCUUUGUGUUUAAUAUAUUAUGUUGACUAAUCCCCCCCGUCCCAAAAAAAAAAAAAAAAGAUACUAACUGGAUAAGGGCAAAACCAGAAAUAACAAUAAGACACUUUCCGUCUUUCCCUUUUGCUUCCUCUUCCUGCUCCUCCUCUUUGUCCUUUCUUUGUUUCACACUUUAUAUUAUUGAAAUUUUGCAUACAGUAAUUUUCUUAAUUUAUAGUUUUAUGAAGAAUUUUUGAAUUUUAACUUGAAGUUUAAUAAUGAAUUUUGAGAAUUAUUUUAUUUUAGAGUUAGAUCUAACAUAUAGGGAUCAAACAUGAAUAUUGAAGGUGGAGAAAUCUACAGGGAAGAAGAUGAAUGAGAGAAAAUCUAUUUUUUCACCAAGUCUUGUUCAAGGCCUCUUGAAAGUCUUCUUUUCUGAAAAUGUUGUAGAGGAUGUAGAUGUGGAUAGGAAUGAGAGGGCUAUGAAAACGCGUAGCACUUUAAAAAUUCUGUUGAAGUUGUUGACGAUACUGGCAUCUUUGGGAAUAUUAUUAAGGACCUCACGAGUGUUGAACAUUUGAAGGACCGUGAUUCAACUCGGACCAAUUUGUCACUCCUAGCCAGCUUUGCUCGACAAGGGAGUUACUUGCUUAGGCUUCCAUUGGUUGGCCAAGAUAUUUUUGAAGACGUACAACAGCUUCCUUUCCUUUCUUCCUCCCUUCUCAAUCAAAAUUAUUCAUGUUGAGAAAAUGGCACUGGAACUAGCUUGUUCUCUACUACUUAUUACACAGGUGUAUUUCUUUUAUGCAGAUUGCUCCUGAAAAAAAUUAUUUUUCAAUGCUUCCUUGAGACAUUUUUUCUACACAUGGAAUUAUGUGAAUGGUCCAGUCUCCCUCGAUAGUGGGUGUCAAUUAUUAGGAAUGGGGAAGAAUGAAUUAGCAAAGAUGAUAUGUUGAUUAUUCAAGUUUUUUGUUACCUCGGUGUUUCAAAUUUAGAUGACACGAUGCCUUACAAUCGUGGAUAGGCUCCUUAUUCCAAGUCACCAGUUCUAUUAUGAGAAAUUGAAGACGACCAGACCUUUAAUAGAUGAAGAACAAAGUGAACCCUCUGAAAAGGGGAAAAAAUAAAACUUUGUCUAUGUAUUCUCUUUAAAGAGAAAAGGAAGGCACGUGUGGAUAUAUAGUACACCACUAAUCGAAUGAGGUCACAAAUGGCCAUAAAUUAUUUGAAUUCAAUGUACCAUUUGAAUAGCUUUCAAUCCAAUUGGUUAUAGUUGUGUUGUUACAACCUCAAUGUACAAUUUCAAGAGCUUUAAUCCUAUUAUGUAGAAAGUAGAGGAUGUAACUUAACUCAUAUUUUUUGGAGUUACUAUUGUGAAGUUUAUAGAUGUCGUAUUAAUAUCACAUGUCAUUCACUUGAGCUUUGAGAGAGAAAACCUAGCCCGAGAAAUUUUUAUUUAGUUUUAAAACAAGAAGGAAAGAAUGUUCUUCCAGACACACUUGAGCAAUGAAAGAUGGAAGUGGUGAUUCAAGGUCUGCUUUGCCAGGUAUAUGUUAUUCUACAAGUUAAUCACACAUAUUCAUGGUGAAAUUUUAAAGUUAUACAUCCUCUUUAAAAUCAUUGUAAAUUUCUGCAACUAUGUGGCCGCCUUCGUAUGAAUUUUUCCUCAAAUUAAUUU